This 493-nucleotide ribosomal RNA is filed under the name uncultured bacterium. RNAcentral's name for it is "bacterial SSU rRNA". It matches the Rfam family "Bacterial small subunit ribosomal RNA", at positions 903 to 1397 of the family's 1533-position model. The record is from RNAcentral.
AAAGGAAUAGACGGGGACUCGCACAAGCGGUGGAGCAUGCGGUUUAAUUCGAUGCAACGCGAAGAACCUUACCAGGUCUUGACAUCUUGUUGACUGAUCUAGAGAUAGGUCUUUUCUUCGGAACAACAAAGACAGGUGGUGCAUGGUUGUCGUCAGCUCGUGUCGUGAGAUGUUGGGUUAAGUCCCGCAACGAGCGCAACCCUUAUCAUUAGUUGCUAACAUUGAGUUGAGCACUCUAAUGAGACCGCCGGUGAUAAACCGGAUGAAGGUGGGGAUGACGUCAAAUCAUCAUGCCCUUUAUGACCUGGGCUACACGCGUGCUACAAUGGCUAGUACAAAGAGUUGCGAAACCGCGAGGUGGAGCUAAUCUCAUAAAGCUAGUCUCAGUUCGGAUUGUAGUCUGCAACUCGACUACAUGAAGUCGGAAUCGCUAGUAAUCGUGAAUCAGAAUGUCACGGUGAAUACGUUCUCGAGUCUUGUACACACCGCCCGU